Molecule: long non-coding RNA, 504 nt
Organism: Anneissia japonica
Lineage: Eukaryota; Metazoa; Echinodermata; Crinoidea; Comatulida; Comatulidae
Exons: 4
Source: RefSeq, a predicted model, not a curated record
CAUAUAAACAAUACUGUAAAUGGAGUUGAACGUCUACGAAAGAGACUUUACAUUUAAAAAAUGACAACUAAAGUGAUCGAGUUAGACCUAGAUGGCACCGUAUUUAUCAAUAUUAAUAUCGUCGUGAAUAUGUACCUCCAUGAUGUUGAUAUCAAAAUAGCUACCAAUGGCGGAUCCAGGAAUUCGAAAUAGAGGGUCUCAGGGAGGUGAUAGUACUGUGAAAUGGAGUUGAAACUCUACGAAGGAGACUUUACAAUUCAUAUGAAGACAAAGAAUCCUCAAAUAUCAAGAAAGGAUGUCUGGACUCGAUCGUGAAAGGGCAACAGAACUUAUAGUACCAACUACUAUAGAUAGACAAAAAUGUUACCACUCAUCAAGGUUCCUGUACAAAUUCUGGAUAUGAAAUUAAUUAAAAUAUAUUGUAAUUUUUAAAAAAUAUUAGCAAUAUUUAUGAAUUUGUGUCUUAUAAUAGAAAAAUAACCCGUAAUAUUUCUCUAACGAAUA